GGGGAUGUGGUGUAGCCUGGCUAGCAUGCGGGCUUAGGGAGCCUGUGACCCCGGUUCAAAUCCGGGCAUCCCCA
RNAcentral lists this transfer RNA (74 nucleotides) under Microcaldota archaeon. RNAcentral describes it as "tRNA-Pro". It matches the Rfam family "tRNA". Rfam says of the family: Transfer RNA (tRNA) molecules are approximately 80 nucleotides in length. Their secondary structure includes four short double-helical elements and three loops (D, anti-codon, and T loops). The record is from RNAcentral. Lineage: Archaea; Nanobdellati; Microcaldota.